GAUACCAUGAUCAAAUAGGUGGUUCACCCAUAGCGAGGCUCAGCCAUUGCACUGAGGCUGUUGCUGACCCGUGCAAAUUCCCCAAAUGUGGGAAUCUCGAUUGCAUAAUUUCUGGUAGUGGGGGACUGCGUUCGCGCUCUCCCCUGGUCGUGUUGUUCUAAAGAAAUAAUAGCUAUGAAUGAUACCACCCUGAGCACGCCCGAUCUCGUCUGAUCUCGGAGGCUAAGCAGGGUCCGGCCUGGUUAGUACUUGGAUGGGUGACCGCCUGGGAAUGGCUCAUGACCCCCCAAAGUCCCUAUCCCUCAACCCUGGGAUCGAUCCAAAAGGAUCGAGGAUCAAAACGGACGGCUCCAUCUGGUGGCCACUGGUGGGUGGUUUUAUUUUCAGAAAUGUCAUGUGCAAGGCCUAGAUUAUCAAAAUCCACUAGUCUGCUGGAUGUUUUGUUUAUUAUUUUCAUACUUUGAGUGGAUGUAGCUGAUGAGAUUCAUACAAUCAAGUGGAAAAGUGUUAAAUUGUUACAUUUUUGGGCUGAAUUAAGAAAAAUAAUAAGAAUGUAUUCAGUGCACUCUCACUUUUUCUGGAAGACAUCAGAGCCAUUCACAGAACUCAUUGUUUUGACCACACAGGGAGUGCAGCCAUCACAGUGGGGGUGUAUUCACACCGCUGGUUGCGGGAGUGAAGACACAAGGACUUCUAAUUGCUUUGGUGUGUUUUUUCUUUCCAAUACCCCACCCCUUCUGAAACCCAAGCACACUGAGACUCCAAAAUACUUUUACAACUUUUAUUUUUCAACCAGAAUGUGUUUCAUUGAAAAGGCAAUCCAUAUAAACACAAAUAAACAAGAUCAUUUUAGUUAAAAGCUCGCCCACCACGACUAGGUACAGAUCUACAGGCGAGAACACGAGAGCAUGAGACGAGAGACAAACAUGUACUACCAUUUGCAAACAUUUAGUUAAACAUGGAGCUGACAGACAUACACACAUAACAAGGACAGGCACAUAUUAAUAAUAAUAAAAAACACUCAACAAUUAAAGAACACACACACACACACACACACACUUGUACUUAAGAUACAAAUCAACAAUUGGCUUGUACAGGCUAAAGUGCAAUAAUGAACAUGAUUAUCCAUAGACUCAGGUGACCAAUCAACAAAUAAAGGCUCAAGCUGUUCCUCCCUUUUGUGUUUUCUUUAGCAAACUUUUGUUAAAACUGAAGCAGACAAAUACAUACAAACAUCACAAAGACAUGAAGCUGACAAAGACAAACAACAUGCAUGACAAAAACACCGAUUAUCUGAACAUGAACAACCACUAAAGGGUAUGUAAACUGAUUGUGUUAGAUUGGAACUGAUUAUGGUUUAAAAGAUUGGCCUCGAUAUUGAACAUAGAGCAGAAUGGAUACUACAAAGUUAAUUUUAACAGCAAUAUAAAUAAUAAUAAAUAAAAAACGAACAAAAGAACUUCAAGUAAAACUGCAAAGUGCCUUUUUUUUUAACGAUAUAAAUAAAUAGAUAGUGCUUGAUAGUGUUUAAAAAACACACACAAAGACAAAGACAAACACACACAAACAAGCCUCUUUCUCUCUCUUACAGAUGGCACAGGAACAGUGGCAUCACAGAGCCUCGUGAUGGAUGUGCCGGUACUGGACCUGAGGCCGGUCUGGCGGAGCAGUCGCUCCUUCUGCCACUUCAGCAGCUCGUUCUGCUCUCCCUGCUGGCAGUACUGGAACAGCAGCCACACCAGCCAGCCGACAUCAUUCUCCACAAGCCACCUGAAGGUCUGACCGGCGUACUUCCCGAACGUGAUGACCAGCUGACCUUUCCAAAGGUCUCUGCUGUCUUGAAAUCCAGCCAUUUAGGGUCAACAACAGUGCUGCUGCGGGCCUCUGCCACAGACCUUGCUGCCUCUGUACAGUACAGCCUGGCCUCUCUUUGCCGGUACAAAAUUAUGUUGGGGUACUGGUGUAGCUGUUGAUGGCUGACCAGCGAUGGUUUAGUGGCCAAGCUCUUCCCGCAGACGUCACAGAUAAAGGUCUCCCUGGCGAUGGCAUGGAUCUUCAGAUGCUUGCCAGGUUGGACUUUUCACCGAAUGUCUUGUCGCACACGGUGCACUGAUGUGUAGGCAUGUUCCAUCUGGUACAGUAAAACAUGAAUAAAUGAGUAAAACUAAAAGCAGAUCAUUUAGAUUGACAAUAUGUAGCCCUUUAUUAUACAGAAAUCUGCUGUUGGUGUAUUAGCCUAGGACAACAAGCUCGCCAGAUUGUCAAGAGAUUAACACGGUCGCCAAAUUGCUUCAGGUUACAAUUACUCUCGCAUCAGCUGUUGUCUAAACAGUCACAUUUACCCAUAUUAACACAUAUCCACAUCAAAUUGACCAAGAAAACGUUGAUUGUCGCCGAAAAGCAACAAGUUUGCAGGUAUGCGACGUAGCCCUUACUAUUGUAAACAGUGUCGUUAGCCGCGCCUAGCUAUCGUCACAAAACACACAUUAAUCAGCUUAUUAUUUCAACGACCCUUGGGUGAAUAUAGUAAUGCCAUACACCGUUGGAAAGCUUAGAUUGCCACGAUUAAAACGAGACUUCCCACGGGUAAUAUGGUUGCUCACCGACAGGCGUUAGGUUGACUAAAGUCUACCCAGCAGCUAAAAACGUACCCACUACUUCUUCCCUUUAUACACAACGACCGCGUUAUGACACGGUCGAAAUCUUUUCUCUUUCUACAAAAUCGAAACAGCUUAAUAUAAACCGUAAAAAAAAAUUCUAAUUAUUAACUAGCAAACGAUGCAGGGGAUAACAUUUACCUGAGUGAAUCCUCCGUCGACAGCUUCACCGGGGAAUACCACGUGCUGUAAGCUAUUUUCUUUUUCAACUCGAGCUCAUUGGCUGCAAUAGAGUUCCGGGUGUUAUAGAUAUAUAUUUAUUUGUCAUUGGACAGAAGUACAACGACAUUCAGUGCACUCACGUACUGGUCUCAUUUAAAAAGGUAACAUAAUAAAUAAUAAAUAAAGAAAGAAAAUACAUUCAACAUUUCGUUCACUCACUGCUUCACCUGUAGUCUCAUAGAAGCCUCCACUGCUCCAAACUCUAUUUGUGAAACAUGCAGACGGCCUAGUGAGACUGCCAGCAGGCAGCAGCAAAGAGAUGUAGCGACCUCGGUUUAUUUCUCCAGCUUUCACAGACACACAAACACGCACACAGAUUGCUUGGUCUUUUUUUUGUUUCGUCGUUGUCUGUUAAACCGCCAAGUGGAGCGACGUGUCUGGGAACCUCGCCUCUUGGUCUGAGCAUGUGGGAGCAUCGCUUCUCGGCCUUUUGGCUAAGAUCAAGUGUAGUAUCUGUUCUUAUCAGUUUAAUAUCUGAUACGUCCCCUACCCGGGGACCAUAUAUUAAAUUGAUUUUUGGAACUGGGAGAUGGAAAAGGGGCUUGCUCCGUCCACUCCA
This is a long non-coding RNA of Gadus macrocephalus (Pacific cod), 3438 nucleotides long. RefSeq lists it as uncharacterized. Lineage: Eukaryota; Metazoa; Chordata; Actinopteri; Gadiformes; Gadidae. The transcript is spliced from 2 exons. The record is from RefSeq and is a predicted model, not a curated record.